RNAcentral lists this small RNA (28 nucleotides) under Bombyx mori (domestic silkworm). Its description in RNAcentral is "ovarian small RNA-16032". The record is from RNAcentral. Lineage: Eukaryota; Metazoa; Arthropoda; Insecta; Lepidoptera; Bombycidae.
GAGUGUCCUUUGCGAACAUUUUGCGUAC